GACGAACGCUGGCGGCGUGCUUAACACAUGCAAGUCGAACGGAAAGGCCCUGCUUUUGUGGGGUGCUCGAGUGGCGAACGGGUGAGUAACACGUGAGUAACCUGCCCUUGACUUUGGGAUAACUUCAGGAAACUGGGGCUAAUCCCGGAUAGGAGCUCCUGCUGCAUGGUGGGGGUUGGAAAGUUUCGGCGGUUGGGGAUGUACUCGCGGCUUAUCAGCUUGUUGGUGGGGUAGUGGCUUACCAAGGCUUUGACGGGUAGCCGGCCUGCGAGGGUGACCGGCCACAUUGGGACUGAGAUACGGCCCAGACUCCUACGGGAGGCAGCAGUGGGGAAGAUUGCACAAUGGGCGGAAGCCUGAUGCAGCAACGCCGCGUGCGGGAUGACAGCCUUCGGGUUGUAAACCGCUUUCGCCUGUGACGAAGCGUGAGUGACGGUAAUGGGUAAAGAAGCACCGGCUAACUACGUG
Molecule: ribosomal RNA, 468 nt
Filed under: uncultured bacterium
Lineage: Bacteria
Description: partial 16S ribosomal RNA
Rfam family: Bacterial small subunit ribosomal RNA
Source: RNAcentral